RNAcentral lists this ribosomal RNA (392 nucleotides) under Aplanochytrium sp. Its description in RNAcentral is "partial small subunit ribosomal RNA". It matches the Rfam family "Eukaryotic small subunit ribosomal RNA", at positions 582 to 975 of the family's 1831-position model. The record is from RNAcentral. Lineage: Eukaryota; Bigyra; Thraustochytrida; Thraustochytriidae.
AUUCCAGCUCCAAUAGCGUAUAUUAAAGUUGUUGCAGUUAAAAAGCUCGUAGUUGGAUUUCUGGUAGGAGCGACCGUGCCGAACUUGAUUGUUCGUGUAUUGUGUUGUCUUCAGCCAUCCUCGUGGAGAACUUUUCUAACAUUAACUUGUUGGGAUUGGGACCCGCGUCGUUUACUGUGAAAAAAUUAGAGUGUUUAAAGCAGGCAUUAGCUUGAAUACAUUAGCAUGGAAUAAUAAGAUAGGACUUUGGUACUAUUUUGUUGGUUUGCAUACCAAAUUAAUGAUCAACAGGAACAGUUUGAGGAUAUUCGUAUGAACAUGUCAGAGGUGAAAUUCUUGGAUUUUGAUCAGACGAACUACUGCGAAAGCAUUUAUCAAGGAUGUUUUCAUUA